Molecule: long non-coding RNA, 3378 nt
Filed under: Capra hircus (goat)
Lineage: Eukaryota; Metazoa; Chordata; Mammalia; Artiodactyla; Bovidae
Description: lncRNA (ENSCHIG00010009178.1)
Source: RNAcentral
GCCAGCCAAGGGUGAGGCCCCCUGCACAUUUCACCAGGAUGGGAACCCCAAGAUUUCCGGGGUUCAAAGACUUCUCCUGAUUCCUAAAGAUGCUGCCCAUCCUUAAUAAAGCACUUUCAAUUUAUUAAAGAGCUAAUUUUUAAACUUGCAAACAAGUGAUUUUACAAAUGAAUUGUUUCUGGAAUUAAAAUUGUCCUGCAAGCCAAAACCAUGCUUCUGUGGGUGUGUUGAAUAGCACAGAAUUUUUCUUUUCAUGAAUCACAGAGUUUUCAUGCCUAUAUACAUUCCCCACAAAGGUGACUAUUGUCCCUUCCAUAUUAUCAUGAUUGUUUUAGGUCCCCUUUCAAGAUCCAUUCCAAACAUGUGUUACCUGAAUGAUGUUACUUAAAUGUAACAUUGUUAUGUCUAUUGCCAACCUUCAUCUUAGGAAGGAACCAUUUUCUACAAAUAUCAUUCAUCACUUUCAGACAAUGACAUAUAUGUACAGAACUUUACAGAAGUGCUACAGGAGAAAAAAACCUACAUAUCUAGCAAGCUAUUUUUACCAAAAAUGUCUCCCUCUUCAUUAUAAACCAGAAAAGGCUUAGAUGUAGCAUUUAUCUAGCUCAGAAAAUCCUGUUAAAAAUUCAGAAACUAAAGAAACCCUUGAUGAACCCAUGAGAAAAGCCAGUUCCAAACUAUUUUUCACCAAACUAGCAUCGGUGUGGAGCGUCUGGUCACAGAUGCUACCUGAGUCCCUGAGUACAGCAAGGUGAAUGAUACAAGGACAAAAGUUUACAGUCAAGGAUAAACCCAAAGGUGAAGCUCACAAGUUAAGCAUGAAAUGCAGACACAAGCAGCAAAACCUGAGAAUAAAACAAGUAAAUGGAGUCAGCCAUGUAUUAACAAACUAAGUUUCUAUGCCAACAUUUUAUUCAUAUAUGUGUAUACCUAGAAAUAAACCUUAUAAAAUUCCUUUUCAAUAAUUGCUUUUUUAAAAAAAUUGCUGUAUCUUAUUCUUCAAAAGCUAGAGUUCUAAACAUUUCGAUACUAUCAGCAUUUGGAUCACACUGGAAUUCUUUCAGAAUCCAGUAGGAAGAGGACAUUCAUUUAGCAUGUGAAACACCUUUCAAAGUCACCGUUCUCUGUCACUCAGGCACAUGUGGCAUGCCAGCAGACGGGCUGGCAUCUGCAUAAAAUAGUAUUUCAAGACCACGAAUAAUCAGAUGAGCCAAAGAGCAAGGUUACUUACAGCACUUGAUAAAAUGAGAGUGAAACAUCUUUCCAUCUCAGACAGAAAUCUUGCUAGGGGUUCCAGCAUUCUCUUCGGCUACAACUGUCGUCCCCAGGAAAGGCAUUAUUGAGAGGUCCCACUCAGGUGGCACUUUACCUCGGGACGCAUUACUGAAGCGAGGCUCAGUUCCACGGUCGUGCAGAAAGCUCUCACCUCAUUCUCAUUCAGCAGCUGGAGUUCAGAUCGGCGUCCCCCGUGGCUCUGGAGCCACCACGGCUGCACGUGCUAUUGUAGCCCCUUGAUUGACAGGGCUCCUGGUGCCAGGAACCCAGGAAUAGUCGCGGCUAAUUGGUCCUCACAGACACCCCACCUUCCGGCUCCGAGGUGUGCUGCAGUGCGGCUCUCUCUCCCGGUCCUGCCUGUUAAUGGCUUUUCAAUAGCUUUCAGAUGAGGGGGCUGGAGAGAAGCGACUGCAGGAGGGACCCUGAAUCUCAUUUCUGCACGCUGUCCAUGAGCCAAAUGUGACCAGAUUCUUAGCUGGUCCCGAGCUGAUUAUUUUUAGUUGCCACCAGUUGCUGUGUGUGAACAGAAAAUUGAUAGCAGCAUCUCAGAAUAACCACCUCCUAGAAUCACAGGUCUUAGGAGCUGCCUCUCCUAAUGAGGAAAUUGCAUUGUGUUCUUCAAUCCGUCUUGCUGGUUUUCUAUGCAGAAUGUGAAACUUAAAGGAUCCACAAAAAGCUUUUGGUUUGCGAAGCUUUACAAAUUUAGGCUUUUCUGCUGCCUCUGCAGACUGCAGUGAAUGCCGCUGUACAAGCCGGCAAAGUAAUUGUCACUGAGCUGGAUUCAGGAAGAAGGACAAGUAUGAUCUUCAAGGGUUAUUGCAAUAAAAAAGUAUCAAAAUAUCACAUUCACAAUGCAAUAGCCACAUGAACCAAAGAAAAGGUCAUUUAUAAGUCACUUAUGAAUACAACAUAGUUUUUUAAAUUAAUGUUUUAAUGAUGAUCUCAAAAAGAAGUUGACAUAGUCAAGAAGCUGCGUUUCAAAUUGUGAGGGCAUGGAGAGAUAAAUACGAACAGUGUACAUCCUUCUAAGAUAGAAGCCUAGGUCUUAGGUUCCCUUACUAAGCUAAACUCAAAGCGUAAUGCUGUUAUUAAACCCAAAGAUUAUAAAAUUCAAGUCUAUGCAACAAAGGCCAUAACUUAGAUUACAAUUGAGGAAUCAUUCUAUUUUUGUAGUAUGACACAGAAGAACAAGUUCAAGGUUUUGAUCAGAAUGGCCUGAUUUCAUAUUUAGAUUCUAUCGCUCACCAUGGUGUCAAACUGGACAAGUGAUUUGGCUUCCAAGAGUCUUAGCUUCCUCACCUACAGAUGGCAAGUGCAAGUCUUAACCUUUGCUCUGAAGGUCAGAAAGAUGUAUAUACAAAUUCUAGUUGAUAUCAUUGAUUUUCAACAAAACGGGACCAUCAGCGGUAACAAGGAAGUGAUUGAUAUUUAGCUAUAUACCAAAUGACUACUAUAGACACUUGAACUGGUUUCCCCAAGAAUUAGAAUGAGGCUCUCAGUCAUUAUCAUCAAUGCAUAGUCCUCAUUUAUUUGUUCAUUCCACAUUACUUAUUGAAAGUCAUUGUGAUCAAGUCACCAUUUUAAGUGCUUUUCAGGAAUUAAAAACAUGUCUAAAACAUACCCUUUACAUACAUGGAUUAUAGUCUAUUGUCUGAGAUUUCCUUAUGUGUUUUGAAAUGAUUUCUUAUAAAACUAUAAAAUACAACUACAUAUAUCAGCUUCCAGCAAAGAACAAGAGUCUCUCCUCCUACCUCAACACAAGUCUUCACAUACACACGUAGUAAUAGGACUUUAUAUGAAUAUCAUUCAGUGUCUCUUUGGGGAAAGUACUGCUGAUCUUGUUACAGCUGUCCCCUCCUCUGAACAAAAGGUGAUGUGUGUUAUCUAUAUAGCUGCCUUAAAUACAUGCAUUUCUUUGUUUUCUGCAAAAGUGCACAUCUCUCCAUAAUACUUACUCAACAUCUUAAGUGAGUCCUAUGACCCCAUUCACUCAUCGAAGGGAAAAAAUACAGUGUAUGAGAGUCAGAGAAGUAUGGUAUGUGUCUGGCAAAGAAAAUAUGAAAAAAUGAUUGAAAAGAUGAUUGAGUUCAGCUUGAAAGAUCU